RNAcentral lists this ribosomal RNA (651 nucleotides) under uncultured bacterium. Its description in RNAcentral is "bacterial SSU rRNA". It matches the Rfam family "Bacterial small subunit ribosomal RNA", at positions 54 to 745 of the family's 1533-position model. The record is from RNAcentral.
CAUGCAAGUCGUACGAGAGUUUUUAACUCAAGUGGCGGACGGGUGAGUAACACGUAAGAAUUUGCCUUUAGGAGGGGGACAACAGUUAGAAAUGACUGCUAAUACCCCAUAUGCUUUCGAGUGAAAUGGAUUUUUCCGCCUAGAGAGAAGCUUGCGGCUGAUUAGCUUGUUGGUGGGGUAAUGGCUCACCAAGGCGACGAUCAGUAUCUGGUUUGAGAGGACGAUCAGACACACUGGAACUGAGACACGGUCCAGACUCCUACGGGAGGCAGCAGUGGGGAAUUUUCCGCAAUGGGCGAAAGCCUGACGGAGCAAUACCGCGUGAGGGAUGACGGCCUAUGGGUUGUAAACCUCUUUUUUCAGGGAGGAAUCAAUGACGUGUACCUGAAGAAUAAGCAUCGGCUAACUCCGUGCCAGCAGCCGCGGUAAGACGGAGGAUGCAAGUGUUAUCCGGAAUCACUGGGCGUAAAGCGUCUGUAGGUGGUCCAAUAAGUCAACUGUUAAAUCUUGAGGCUCAACCUCAAAAUCGCAGUCGAAACUAUUAGACUAGAGUAUAGUAGGGGUAAAGGGAAUUUCCAGUGGAGCGGUGAAAUGCGUAGAGAUUGGAAAGAACACCGAUGGCGAAGGCACUUUACUGGGCUAUUACUAACA